GCCCUUAGAGUUUGAUCCUGGCUCAGGAUGAACGCUGGCGGCGUGCCUAACACAUGCAAGUCGAGCGAUUCUCUUCGGAGAAGAGCGGCGGACGGGUGAGUAACGCGUGGGUAACCUGCCCUGUACACACGGAUAACAUACCGAAAGGUAUGCUAAUACGAGAUAAUAUACUUUUAUCGCAUGGUAGAAGUAUCAAAGCUCCGGCGGUACAGGAUGGACCCGCGUCUGAUUAGCUAGUUGGUAAGGUAACGGCUUACCAAGGCGACGAUCAGUAGCCGACCUGAGAGGGUGAUCGGCCACAUUGGAACUGAGACACGGUCCAAACUCCUACGGGAGGCAGCAGUGGGGAAUAUUGCACAAUGGGCGAAAGCCUGAUGCAGCAACGCCGCGUGAGCGAUGAAGGCCUUCGGGUCGUAAAGCUCUGUCCUCAAGGAAGAUAAUGACGGUACUUGAGGAGGAAGCCCCGGCUAACUACGUGCCAGCAGCCGCGGUAAUACGUAGGGGGCUAGCGUUAUCCGGAAUUACUGGGCGUAAAGGGUGCGUAGGUGGUUUCUUAAGUCAGAGGUGAAAGGCUACGGCUCAACCGUAGUAAGCCUUUGAAACUGGGAAACUUGAGUGCAGGAGAGGAGAGUGGAAUUCCUAGUGUAGCGGUGAAAUGUGUAGAUAUUAGGAGGAACACCAGUUGCGAAGGCGGCUCUCUGGACUGUAACUGACACUGAGGCACGAAAGCGUGGGGAGCAAACAGGAUUAGAUACCCUGGUAGUCCACGCCGUAAACGAUGAGUACUAGCUGUCGGAGGUUACCCCCUUCGGUGGCGCAGCUAACGCAUUAAGUACUCCGCCUGGGAAGUACGCUCGCAAGAGUGAAACUCAAAGGAA
RNAcentral lists this ribosomal RNA (878 nucleotides) under uncultured bacterium. RNAcentral's name for it is "bacterial SSU rRNA". It matches the Rfam family "Bacterial small subunit ribosomal RNA", at positions 1 to 909 of the family's 1533-position model. The record is from RNAcentral.